ACCCUGCGUCUGAAGGACGAAACUGUCCAGUGGUGACCUAAUGGCCGACUCACAAGCUCCAGGUGGGCGACGGGAUCGGUGUAAGCUAGGGAACUAGAGCCAUUGCUUUGGGGGUUUCGAUCACUUUCGUGAAAUUUCGCGUUUUGGUACCGGACGGCGUUUCUUUCUUUUUUUUUACCACGGCCGCUCUGGAACACUAGCGUUCUGCCUGCCAACUGUGCGCUGUCCUCUGCGAUGAUAGCAAACUUGGCACGGCGCGCAUCUUGUGCCGAGUCGCGCAAGAUCUCGCGAGAGUGAUCGCAUCCUCGAAUGCUAUUGUUCGCCAAUACCGCUUCAGCUCUCCGGGCAAACGUCAGUACGUAUUCCCAAGCGAGCAACGCUCAGGCACGUCGACUACACGGGCUGGUGCUGCAAAGGCCACUGCCGUGCUAGUGGCAGGUUUACGUUUAUUCCGGCCCAAGCUGUCCCGGAAUUCAAUUUCGCAACGUUCGGGCGCCUUCGAGUGGCCUUCGGUUUCCUACCCACGUGGCCAUGACGUCAUCUGUGAGCUUUGCAGGAACUAUCCAGCUGCCGUCCGGCUGCCAGUGGGCGGUCAGAACACUGAAAAUAGAAGCAGCCCUGCAUUUGUGUGAACUACAACUGAUAGUGCAGCGCCGACGACGACGUGGAAAGCUGCAGGGCUGGCAAUAUGGAAAGAGCGAUUUAGUAGGUCUUCGGUGCACUUCUGGUCCCGGAGGCUGACAACUGGUUUGAUACACGUCUCCUCUGGACUUGCAUAUCAGCAGAAAGGUUCGGUCCCGGCCGCUGCGGCAGCAUUACGGAGGAGUCGGAAUGGGAGAAAAA
This is a long non-coding RNA of Dermacentor albipictus, 843 nucleotides long. RefSeq lists it as uncharacterized. The record is from RefSeq and is a predicted model, not a curated record. NCBI's taxonomy places the organism in Eukaryota, Metazoa, Arthropoda, Arachnida, Ixodida, Ixodidae.